GACGAACGCUGGCGGCGUGCUUAACACAUGCAAGUCGAACGGAAAGGCUCCAGCUUGCUGGAGUGCUCGAGUGGCGAACGGGUGAGUAACACGUGGGCAAUCUGCCCUGCACUCUGGGAUAAGCCUGGGAAACUGGGUCUAAUACCGGAUAGGACCUUUCUCCUCAUGGGGUUUGGUGGAAAGUUUUUCGGUGCAGGAUGAGCCCGCGGCCUAUCAGCUUGUUGGUGGGGUAAUGGCCUACCAAGGCGACGACGGGUAGCCGGCCUGAGAGGGUGAUCGGCCACAUUGGGGCUGAGAUACGGCCCAGACUCCUACGGGAGGCAGCAGUGGGGAAUAUUGCACAAUGGGCGAAAGCCUGAUGCAGCGACGCCGCGUGAGGGAUGACGGCCUUCGGGUUGUAAACCUCUUUCAGUAGGGACGAAGCGCAAGUGACGGUACCUGCAGAAGAAGCACCGGCUAACUACGUG
This 467-nucleotide ribosomal RNA is filed under the name uncultured bacterium. RNAcentral's name for it is "partial 16S ribosomal RNA". It matches the Rfam family "Bacterial small subunit ribosomal RNA", at positions 28 to 507 of the family's 1533-position model. The record is from RNAcentral.